This 465-nucleotide ribosomal RNA is filed under the name uncultured bacterium. RNAcentral describes it as "partial 16S ribosomal RNA". It matches the Rfam family "Bacterial small subunit ribosomal RNA", at positions 28 to 507 of the family's 1533-position model. The record is from RNAcentral.
GACGAACGCUGGCGGCGUGCUUAACACAUGCAAGUCGAACGGAAGGGCCCCUUUGGGGUGACUCGAGUGGCGACCGGGUGAGUACCACGUAAGUAACCUGCCCUUUACUCUUGGUCAACGUCAGUAAACUGGGGAUAAUACCGGUAAGAACUCAUUGCUCCAUGGUGGGGGUUGGAGAGCUUUGGGGGGUUUGGAUGGACUGGCGGGUUAGUAGCUUGUUGGGGGGUUAGUGGGUUACCAGGGCUUUGACGCGUAGCCGGACCGAGAGAGUGACCGGCGGUAUUGGGUCCUAGAGACGGCCCAGAUGCCGACGGGUGGCAGAUGGGGGGAAGAUUGCACCAGGGGCGGAGGCCGGAUGCAGCAACGCCGCGGGUGGGAUGACGGCCUUGGGGUUGUAAACCGCUUUCAGCAGGGGAGAAGCUUGUGGUGACGGUACCUGCAGAAGAAGCACCGGCUAACUACGUG